Long non-coding RNA from Numida meleagris (helmeted guineafowl), 1339 nucleotides. RefSeq lists it as uncharacterized. The transcript has 3 exons. Lineage: Eukaryota; Metazoa; Chordata; Aves; Galliformes; Numididae. The record is from RefSeq and is a predicted model, not a curated record.
AGUUUGGGAUAGCUGUUACCGCAUUUGUCAUUUAGCGCUCACUCACGUAACUUUCUUGUACAUUUCUGAAAUAGUUUCGCCAUCCCUCAUAAGACAGUCUCCCCAAGGCCCUCUUACCUGUUCCCACAUCAGCUCUCUUGGAGCAAAGAUUGUUUUAGCUACUUCCCCUAAUACAUUUCAAGUAUAAUUACAUGAUGAUCAAUAUGUUUUAGAUGCUCCACAACCUCAGAUAUAUUUUUUUAAUACUUGGCUCUCUUCCUGGAUUAGUCCAAAUCAGCUCUUGGCUGACACAAGAAGCCUCAAUAAACUGCAUUAAAAAUGAUUUUGAAUUUGUGAAAGGGCUCAAUGUCUGAAGAGCUGAUGCACACUUUAGAGAUGAACUCAUCCAUCUGAGCAUGGAGCAGUAGGUUGGCUUUGUGUUGCUUUGCAUUGGCAGCAAGCUGGGGAACAGUAAACAGAAACAUUAAUUCACAGCCUCGCUUCUGUUCCUCCCUAGUAACAGGUUUUUACAACAGACUUCCUGUGUCUGUAUUGAUUUUUCUGGAGUCAAAGAACAAAAAGAUAGAGCACGAGGACUCAUGUGACCAGCCUUUAAGCAGAUGCUGCUGUGAGCUCAUCCAACAGAACUCCAUUGUUGAGGCAUGAAAAGGUGAUCCCUGCCUUUUUUUCUUCCCCCGUAGAUUACCGCAGGCUUUUUUCCUUUGCAACUGAGCCCCCACUGAGCUAGAAGCACCGCAAGAAAGCUUGGCCUCAUGCAUAACACUACACAGCAUCAGAUGCUUUUUUGCCAUCUAUGGUGAAUGAUGCAGCUGCAUGGAGCAAAAUCCACAUUUCUGUACAUCUUUUGAAGAGCGUGAGUAUGUUUUCCACCACUUUGCUCUGUUCCCUCACCUGUAGAUAAUGAACUUUUUCCUAUGACCUCUCCUUAGAGGUCCUAAGAGGGAAAUGGAAAGAAAAUAAAUGAAAGCCAACACCUUUUGGCAUUCAGAAGAGCCUGUGAGAGGUCCAGGUAGAGCCAGCAUUGAAUCCACUCACUCCCAUUUCCCUUGGAGGAUCCACUUCUACUGAUGGCAUUGACAUCAACACAGAGCAACUAUCCUAUUUCCCAGUUGUCUCAAUAGCUGAGACGUUGCUGGAAAAAUGCAUGAAUUCUUCUAGCUUAAGUUAAUUCGUGGUUAUGUACUUCACCAUUCCCUUUAUAUUCCUCUUAUUUCUUCACUGGGAGCGGGGUCUGUUUCUUUAUGUGGCCCUUAGGGUCAGCGCUGCACUUUCUGCUCAAGGAAUACUCUUAUACACUGUUUGGAUUUCCAGAGUGUAAUGUGACAGAGCUUUCCAGCAC